This 582-nucleotide ribosomal RNA is filed under the name Bacillus thuringiensis. RNAcentral describes it as "bacterial SSU rRNA". It matches the Rfam family "Bacterial small subunit ribosomal RNA", at positions 556 to 1139 of the family's 1533-position model. Lineage: Bacteria; Bacillati; Bacillota; Bacilli; Caryophanales; Bacillaceae. The record is from RNAcentral.
GGGCGUAAGCGCGCGCAGGUGGUUUCUUACGUCUGAUGUGAAAGCCCACGGCUCAACCGUGGAGGGUCAUUGGAAACUGGGAGACUUGAGUGCUGAAGAGGAAAGUGGAAUUCCAUGUGUAGCGGUGAAAUGCGUAGAGAUAUGGAGGAACACCAGUGGCGAAGGCGACUUUCUGGUCUGUAACUGACACUGAAGCACGAAAGCGUGGGGAGCAAACAGGAUUAGAUACCCUGGUAGUCCACGCCGUAAACGAUGAGUGCUAAGUGUUAGAGGAUUUCCGCCCUUUACUGCUGAAGUUAACGCAUUAAGCACUCCGCCUGGGGAGUACGGCCGCAAGGCUGAAACUCAAAGGAAUUGACGGGGGCCCGCACAAGCGGUGGAGCAUGUGGUUUAAUUCUAAGCAACGCGAAGAACCUUACCAGGUCUUGACAUCCUCUGAAAACCCUAGAGAUAGGGCUUCUCCUUCUGGAGCAUAGUGACAGGUGGUGCAUGGUUGUCCUCAGCUCGUGUCGUGAGAUGUUGGGUUAAGUCCCGCAACGAGCGCAACCCUUGAUCUUAGUUGCCAUCAUUAAGUUGGGCACU